This 730-nucleotide long non-coding RNA is filed under the name Homo sapiens (human). RNAcentral's name for it is "HSALNT0120834". Lineage: Eukaryota; Metazoa; Chordata; Mammalia; Primates; Hominidae. The record is from RNAcentral.
GCUCCACGUGUCGCCUUACGUUGCCAGUCAUCAAGCCUCCUUUGCGUCAUUUUAAACGCCCUGCUUACGCAUCUAGCUCCUAUGCACCUUCAGUCUCAAAGAAAACUGAUGAGCAUCCUGCAAGGUACAAGAUGCUGGAUCAGAGGAUCAAAAUGAAAAAGAUUCAGAACAUCUCACAUAACUGGAACAGAAAAUAGGCCGAGGGGAAGAAGAGAGGGAGUGAAGGAGGGUCUACCUAUCUGCUUCUCAGCACCCACUGGCCACAGCAGGACACACCUCCAAGACCCUUGGAGGCUGUUGGAGCAGGUACUAUCCUGGUUGACUCCACCAAGGUGAAAUGAAAGUUGUAUGUGAUUUUCCUCUUUGUUGUUCUUGUAUAGACUUUUCAAUUGCUGUAUGUGGGAUCAGCCCAGACGCCAGCAACAAACUAGCAAGAGGGGUGUUUUUAUGGUAUAAGUCUCUAAAAGUCUAAAUUGGACCAAAAUUAAAAUGACACAAACUUAAAAAAAAAUAAAAUUCCUCUCAUUGCCACUUUUUUCAAUCUCUAAAAGUUAGUUGCCCCCAAAAGAAUAUUGGUUUAAUAAUCAUCAUAUUUAAGAAAUGCACUGAUAAAAACAUAUUUUCCAAUUUUAAAUACACCUAUUUAAAAUGUAAAUACACUUAUUUAAAAUUCAAGUAAAUAUGUAACUAUCAAAGUAAAUGUAUUCAAAACAGAAGUUGUGCUUCUGAA